This is a long non-coding RNA of Cephus cinctus (wheat stem sawfly), 3396 nucleotides long. RefSeq lists it as uncharacterized. The transcript has 8 exons. Lineage: Eukaryota; Metazoa; Arthropoda; Insecta; Hymenoptera; Cephidae. The record is from RefSeq and is a predicted model, not a curated record.
UAGAAAAAUGGAUGGAGACAUAAUAAAAAGUACUGGGACGAAGGUAAUAUCAGAGAACAAAACACAUACAAAGUUACGUCAUGGUUAGAAGAGUCUAAAAUAAGGUUGGAUAGAUAAAAGUGGUGGUUUCGUAAGAAAAUUGUACCCCGAGUGCCGACAGCGCAUGCGCGAGAUAACGUUCGGAGAAAAUAAACAUGGCGACUAGUGUAUUCAUCGAAAUGUAAUAUAAACCGUGUCGAAUGAAACGUAAAGAAAAUUCAGAAAUCUUAUCUCGGAUAAUCAAAAAUUAAUCUAGACAACAGACAUCCUCUAAUGUUUUCACUGGCGAAAGAAUACCUCCACGGUACAUGACAUCCUAAAUAAUGGCGUUCUCACUGCAAAUAAUCUCUCUUGAACAAUUGAUUGAUUGGCUACCGCUCGAGUACCGCUGCUCUUGGACGAGAGGAACCUCUUUCGCGUCCGCUGCACCUUUAUUAUUCUUCAUCCAGUCACCACUCUCAAUAAUUUCUUUGAAGAUUUCGCACAGUGGACAAUUUCCCGAAGAAGCCGCAGGGGCUAAUUGAACUCUUGGCCAAGUUUUCGUACUCGAGUGUACUUAAGCAGCGAUCGGGGAUACUUUGGCUACCAGCCGGUAAGGGAGAAAUUAAGACGAUCUUAGAUAUGCUUUCAGCCGCUAAUCGGAUUGGCGAAACCAAUUAAAUCAACUUGGAUAAGUACCUGUUACGAAACAGCAUCGGCAACGAUAGGUACUCUCUUACUCAAAUCCUGACCCAGCAUUCAUAUGGAAGGACGAGAACCAUUCCUGAGACGCAUAACUGAAUUCGGAGAAAUUGAAUAAUACAAGGUAUAUGAAAUUCAAGUGGAUCUGAACUGCUGAUGAUAUAAUUCUACAGGCUCCCAAAAUACGGAGAGAGGGUGAGAAUUUUCAAAAGGCCAUAUUUACAAGAAGAGCAAAUAUGAGGAAAAUUUAAUAAUGCCCGGAGUACGCAUUUUCACGUGAUUUAUAUAUUAUGGUACGGGCUGAUAUGUGUCCUUGAUAUAAAUCAGGAUAUUGUUACCGUCCAUGAAAAUGGCUAUGUGUCAGUAAGAAUUACCUGAGAUUUGAGCUACGACGAGGAUCCGUUUUCGUAUAUCAGUUGGCACUUGCUGGCGUUGAUUUUGAAAUAUCUGAUACCGAAGUGAAGGAGCUGUUACGUCACAUGGAAAAAGAAAUGUCUAAGAGGAUUUUCACUGGGACGAAGAUGUUUACGGUGAUGCACCAACUUUGACCGCAUUCAGAAAUCUUCCUGCUAUCCUCGAGAACACCGGAAACUCGAUAACGGCCAUUUUAUAUCGAAUUCCUUUUACGAGUCGUGUCGAGAUUUGACUGAACAUGGAAGCAGUAAAAGGGAUCAGAACGGAAAUUCCUUGGGAUCAAAACUUCGGCAAUUGCAAGACUGUGCAUAGAAAAAUCUUCAAAAAUACAAGAUUUCAAAUUGUCCAAGUGGAUGCUGACUUCGUAGAGGUCGAAUGGGUAUUGGCAAUGGAAUUAUAAUAUGGAGGAUAAAUUUAAGUGGAAAAAGUAUGCAGAUUAUCAGACGACCGUUCUAUUUCUUAACGAGGAAUAUGGAUCUUCUUCUCAUUAAUCGAUUCUCUGCUCCCCGGACUCCUGGUGCUCUGCGACGACAUCCUAGCAGCCAACAAACCCUGCUCACACGACCGCCCUAAAUGCUAAUAACGAAAAGUUGUACGGUGCGCCCAGGAACAAGCUUCUGGGUAAUGAAACAGAUUAAUCAGAGAAGCCCAGAGAGUGAUGCCGCAAGGUGGAAGGAAGGAAGGAAGGAAAGAGGAAGGCAUACCCAUUCUGGUCGGAGGAGAAACUUAGAAUCAGUCUGGGAAACCAAGGAACGUAAAGGAGAAUAGUCUACAUUGACGUGAUAAGACCUUAGCAAGUUCACUGAUAAGUAGAUUAAGUGAUAUAGUUAUACGUGUCUGUUGAGAAAUUCAGAAUGGAGUAGUGCAAUAGUAUUAUUAUUAUAUAUAAUUAUACAUAUAUGUAUAAUAUUUAAUACGAUUAUAAUCGUGAUUAAGUUAAUAUUCUUCUCAGUCAGAUAUAAUAUCGAAUCAGUUCUGUUCAAAUUUCUCGCUUUUAAUCAUGGUUGGUAAUUUGCAAGAGUUUACAUAUGUAAACCCAUAGGAACUUAUAGGAGCUUAGAUUGAGGGGAGCAUAUAAAUAUGCAGAGUUUUAGUCGAGCAUUAACAUACUCUAUGCACGUUUGGUAUUAUAUUCAUGAAUAAAUGAAAUGGUCAUAUUACCAACAUCCAUUGUACGUCAGGUUGUUUAUUAAGAAUCAAUAUUGUAAAAUCGAAUUAAAAAUCAAGCUGAGAAUUGAAGAUGACACUAAACUGUAAUUGUUGAUGAGAUUUCCUGGAAUUUCGUAUAAAUUUAGUACAGUGUCUGUUUUCUGGCAACAGAUAUUCUGCCAAGUAAAAUAGAGGAUGAAAAGGUCCGGCUAAAGAAAGGCCAAGGAGUAUCAGGCGUCUGCUGAUCAUUAAUACUUAUUUAUACUUCAGGUUAACUUAAAUUGCAAAAGAGUAACGCUUCUGUUAUUCCCACCACAGAGUGACUUAAUCAUAGCCGAAAUUUAUCUGGCCGUGGAUGGGCAGAGUGGCAUAAAAAGGAGAAAGAAGCGCCACUUCCUCUGUGGAGAUGAUGAACCGUCGACGCGGGAUGAAAUGGGAGGCUGGAAGCUGGGCUGAAUCUCGUUAAACAGCCGGAACUUCGAAUGCGUACAAGAAAAUCGCACGUUGCUCAUCGAUCCGUCCGAAGGAGGGACAAUAUUUUUCCAUCGCUGGCUUCAUGGGAACGAAGAGAGAAGAAAAAAGAAAGAGAAAAAAGUGGGAGCAGGAAUAAUGGGAUAGAUACAUGUUUCUAUAUGUAUAUAUAAAUAUAUAAGCGUAUGUAGAACACGACGUUAUUCUUGAAGAUGACGAAACGAAGAUACAAGCCGCUGGGAUGCUGAGGGGGUGUGUAAGGGGUAGCUAUGGGCUUAAAAAAAUAAAAUGGACCAACAUCCGUCGGCAGUCGGGAGAUAAACAUUGGGGCAAGAAGUGCCAUGCGGCGUCCAGAAUCCAGGAACGUGGUCGUACGUGAGUCACCCUUAAUCCAAUGUACACAAGGGGAUUGGUCCAUGGUAUGGAUGGAGCCUUGCAAGGAAGCCAUCUUCUGGUACAUUGCGAAACCGAUUGCGUCGCUAGACACUUGGUGCUGUUGGACGUCUGCAAGAUGAUACGUGAUUCGGAAGCUGCGGAGGACGGUUGGAUGAUUUACAAAAAAAGUACCGUUAGCCAAUAUUGUUCAAAGGACUAUUCAAAUUUGUUCUUUUGAUUAUAGGCGAUUUGGAAGCUGGCGAAGAG